RNAcentral lists this unclassified non-coding RNA (328 nucleotides) under plant metagenome. Its description in RNAcentral is "partial contains 5.8S ribosomal RNA, internal transcribed spacer 2, and large subunit ribosomal RNA". The stretch from base 1 to 105 matches the Rfam family "5.8S ribosomal RNA", at positions 50 to 154 of the family's 154-position model. The record is from RNAcentral.
GAAAUGCGAUAAGUAAUGUGAAUUGCAGAAUUCAGUGAAUCAUCGAAUCUUUGAACGCACAUUGCGCCCGUCAGCAUUCUGGCGGGCAUGCCUGUUCGAGCGUCAUUUCAACCCUCAGGCCCCCCCUUUCGCGGGGAGGGACCUGGCGUUGGGGAUCGGCCCGCCCCCGCGGCGGCGCCGUCCCCGAAAUCUAGUGGCGGUCUCGCUGCAGCCUCCCCUGCGUAGUAGUUACAACCUCGCAUCGGAGCGCGGCGCGGCCACGCCGUAAAACCCCCGACUUUCUGAACGUUGACCUCGGAUCAGGUAGGAAUACCCGCUGAACUUAAGC